GACGAACGCUGGCGGCGUGCUUAACACAUGCAAGUCGAACGGAAAGGCCUCUUUCGGGGGGUACUCGAGUGGCGAACGGGUGAGUAACACGUGAGUAACCUGCCCUUGACUUUGGGAUAACUUCAGGAAACUGGGGCUAAUACCGGAUAGGAGCUCCUGCUGCAUGGUGGGGGUUGGAAAGUUUCGGCGGUUGGGGAUGGACUCGCGGCUUAUCAGCUUGUUGGUGGGGUAGUGGCUUACCAAGGCUUUGACGGGUAGCCGGCCUGAGAGGGUGACCGGCCACAUUGGGACUGAGAUACGGCCCAGACGCCUACGGGAGGCAGCAGUGGGGAAGAUUGCACAAUGGGUGGAAGCCUGAUGCAGCAACGCCGUGUGCGGGAUGACGGCCUUCGGGUUGUAAACCGCUUUCGCUCAUGACGAAGCUUUGUGUGACGGUAGUGGGUAAAGAAGCACCGGCUAACUACGUG
This 467-nucleotide ribosomal RNA is filed under the name uncultured bacterium. RNAcentral's name for it is "partial 16S ribosomal RNA". It matches the Rfam family "Bacterial small subunit ribosomal RNA", at positions 28 to 507 of the family's 1533-position model. The record is from RNAcentral.